UACGUAGGGGGCAAGCGUUGUCCGGAUUUAUUGGGCGUAAAGAGCGUGUAGGCGGCCAUACAGGUCAGCUGUGAAAACUCGAGGCUCAACCUCGAGACGUCGGUUGAAACCGUAUGGCUAGAGUCCGGAAGAGGAGAGUGGAAUUCCCGGUGUAGCGGUGAAAUGCGCAGAUAUCGGGAAGAACACCCGUGGCGAAGGCGACUACCUGGCCUGUUCUUGACGCUGAGGCGCGAAAGCUAGGGGAGCAAACGGG
This 253-nucleotide ribosomal RNA is filed under the name uncultured bacterium. Its description in RNAcentral is "partial 16S ribosomal RNA". It matches the Rfam family "Bacterial small subunit ribosomal RNA", at positions 524 to 776 of the family's 1533-position model. The record is from RNAcentral.